CGAGAGUCGCUCAAGACCGGGGCGAUCCCAACAAAGCGAGGGCCUCGGGAAGGGGCGGCCGCGAGCCGAGCACACACGGCUCCAGGCCGGACAGACGCGGCCCCAUCGCCCACUGGGGCGGCGCCCCCUCUCAGGGACCUGCCUAGCCUUAGGUCCCCCUUUCUGCAGGCGGGUCUCGCAGUUGCCGCGCUCCCCACCUUGCCGGCGCCCGCCCGAGCCAGGCCGAUCUCCACGCACUGAGCAUCCAGAAUCGCGCGGUGUACCGACGGAGCGGACAUGGGCAGAGCGAUGGUAGCCAGGCUGGGACUGGGGCUGCUGCUGCUGGCCCUGCUGACCACGCAGGUAUACUCCAACCAAACAACUUUUGAAUCAUCUUCAUCUCAGAAUAACUCUUCUGCCCCAAAUCCAAAUAAUGGCACCGGAGCAGGCGGCAAUGAUCUGCAGUCAACAGCUACUCUCUUGCUGGUGGCACUUUCUCUUCUACAUCUCUACUGAUAGAGACUCUGGCCAAGCAACAUCUCUACUUCCCUAUCUUCUAGACCCACUCCAAAUGGCAACUACAAAUCCAAUGUGGCAAGGAAGAAACUGGUCUGCAUCAACUCUGCUAUGACCACACUGUAUUGUAUUGAAACAGAAAAGGCUGAGAAUUCCAAAUUCAAUUGGUUUGAAGGACACAUGAAGGGUUUGACAGAUGAUGAAUGCCAGUAUUAAAUCUGCUGGAGUUUUGUGUACAAGAUGAAGAUAGGUAACAUGCAAAAUUAACAUGAUGUCCUUGAAUGUGGCUUAAGAAAUCUGGACACUUAAAACUCUGUCUUGAAAUCAGGCAUAGGUUUUAUCUAGGGAUAGGGAUGGGAUUUGUAAUGGAGAUUCAAUUUUCAUUUGCUUUGUUCAACCUAUAAGGACAUGAAACAGGUAAUAUUCCAAAAGCUUCCAUGAUCCUAUUUAUAUAUACAUUUGAUGGAGCUACCAGAUGAUACUAUAAGUCCUCCGUAUUGUUUGAGCAUUACUAAUUUAACAUGGAAAACUCUAGAUAAAACUUCACACUGUUAAGCUGUCACUGUUCUGUCUGGAAUUGAGUUUUUUUUUUUUAACCUCCUGCCCCUGCCCCUCUGCAGCUUUAGGCUUGACAUUAUAUUUGACCGUUAUGUAGGAAUUGACAUGUGCCAGGAGGUGAUGGAUUGGAACCCACCCCCAAAUCCAGCCAUCAUCAAUAGCUCUUGCUUUACAAAAUCAAAUGGUGGCUGUUUUCCGUCACCUGCUUUCAGUCAACGAGAGUGCCAGAUUCUUUUAGCCAGGCUGGCUCCACAGAGUAGAACUGCGUUGACCUGGACUAAUCUCAAAGUACAGCUUCUUUCCCACGUAUGUUCAGUGCUUAAAAUACGUUCUGUUAUGAAAGUAAAAUUACAAAUCUUGAAAUUAGAAAGGCGAUAUGGGAAGGAGCCCAAACUGUAAAUCAAGCCUUUAGGAUGUGAAGACUGGAGGCAACUUGAACUAAAUUCACACAAUCUUUUAUACUCUUCCUGUGAAUACUUUUUUUAAAAAGAAAAAGCAACAGAUCCGAAUAGCCACAUUUAGAGUACUUUUAAUUAUCAGUUCAUAUUUUUAGAUAGUUUGCCGUUGGUCCUUAGCUUGAGAGUGGGUUUCAUUCCACAGUAUUUUUUUUCAGCUGCCUUGAUACACAGAAACCUUUGAAAAUAGACAUUCCCUGAAAAAAAUGAUUUGUUUGCAUGGUCACACACUGAUGCUUAUAUGUACUGGGAUCUAAUAUGGCCACAGUAGUGUUGAUAGCCAGAGUAAUUUUUUCCAUCUUUAGACCUACAGAGGAACAGCAGAUCUCAAAGAUCCAAAGCUGCUGUGUGUGUGAAUGAACGUUUCCUCCUGCUUCAUCCCCGAAUGCUGUACCUCUAUUUGACUGUAUAUUGUGUUUGUGUAUUUAUGCUUUGAUUCAUAGUAACUUCUCAUGUUAUGGAAUUGAUUUGCAUUGAACACAAACUGUAAAUAAAAGAAAUAAAUGGCUGAAAGAGCGAUCUUGAA
This is a long non-coding RNA of Nannospalax galili (Upper Galilee mountains blind mole rat), 2034 nucleotides long. RefSeq lists it as uncharacterized. The transcript is spliced from 3 exons. NCBI's taxonomy places the organism in Eukaryota, Metazoa, Chordata, Mammalia, Rodentia, Spalacidae. The record is from RefSeq and is a predicted model, not a curated record.